Molecule: ribosomal RNA, 260 nt
Filed under: uncultured bacterium
Lineage: Bacteria
Description: partial 16S ribosomal RNA
Rfam family: Bacterial small subunit ribosomal RNA
Source: RNAcentral
GGGAAGGCGAGCCCGCCGAGGGGGAGGCGAAUCCCAAAAAGACCGUCCCAGUUCGGAUCGCAGGCUGCAACCCGCCUGCGUGAAGUUGGAAUCGCUAGUAAUCGCGGAUCAGCAUGCCGCGGUGAAUACGUUCCCGGGCCUUGUACACACCGCCCGUCACACCAUGAGAGUCGGGAACACCCGAAGUCCGUAGCCUAACCGCAAGGGGGGCGCGGCCGAAGGUGGGUUCGAUAAUUGGGGUGAAGUCGUAACAAGGUACC